Molecule: ribosomal RNA, 45 nt
Filed under: Trebouxia jamesii
Lineage: Eukaryota; Viridiplantae; Chlorophyta; Trebouxiophyceae; Trebouxiales; Trebouxiaceae
Description: partial 26S ribosomal RNA
Source: RNAcentral
UCGACCUGAGGUCAGGAAGAACACCCGCUGAACUUAAGCAUAUCA